GCCUCUCUCUAUCAUCCUGAUCACACCAGAUCUCAUCUGAUCUCAGAAGUUAAGCAAGGUCAGACCUGGUUAGUACUUGGAUGGAAGACCACAGACUUCUAAAGAGAAAUCUUGGAGAGGCU
Ribosomal RNA from Vulpes vulpes (red fox), 122 nucleotides. The record is from Ensembl. NCBI's taxonomy places the organism in Eukaryota, Metazoa, Chordata, Mammalia, Carnivora, Canidae.